UUUAUCACUUUCAUCCAUCGUAUUAGUAGCAUUGCUUCUGACUACCUCAUCUUCUUCCCAGUUAAGUGAAAAACGUGGUUUUACUGACCAAGGAUGUAUGGGAACUUACGACAGUACCAAGCUUGCUCGGCUAAAUCGAAUCUGUGAAGAAUGUUAUAAUAUUUACAGGGUUCCGCUGAUUCAUAAAUCCUGCAGAUCGAACUGCUUCAAGAACGACAUGUUCACCGACUGUAUCAAGGUUCUACUGUUGGAGUCCGAGGAACAACAACUAAACAGUAUGGUGGGAGACUUAUUUGGAAAGAGGAAGUAAUAUACUUUGUUGAACUGGAAUAUGUUGACACGGAAACUUGUAAUAAGAACCAAACUUAUGUUGAAUUCAAUAAAUAAAGGAAAUAUAAAUAAUUA
Molecule: long non-coding RNA, 405 nt
Filed under: Limulus polyphemus (Atlantic horseshoe crab)
Lineage: Eukaryota; Metazoa; Arthropoda; Merostomata; Xiphosura; Limulidae
Description: uncharacterized LOC111087907
Source: RNAcentral